AGUUAAGAAUUUUAAAUAACAACAGUAUACUGUUUGUCGUUUGACGAGCACUUGAAAUUUUGGAAACUAAAAACUAUGGAAUUUUUGUGGAAGAGUAUUUAAUAUUGUUUUUCUUCAAGAACUCUUCAAGUGUUGAUAUGAACAGUGUUACCUAUGUUUAUUGAUAAUAUGAACUUGUAGUAUAAAAGAACAAGUGGAGAUAAUAAUAUCAAUGUUUACAGAUGUUAGCGAACGAACACAGGAUACUGACAAAGAGUGCAUUCAAACCUUUUGAGUGCCCAUACCUUGCUAUGAUCCACAAUCUAUUUCAUUGGGAAGUUGAGCCUAUAUUAUAAAUCAAUUUUGCUAGGACGAAAUUAUGAACACACGUGAAAUAUUUCUGGGACAAACAGGAACCAGUGAAGAAUUAAAAACCAUAAGCCAUAAGCCAUAGAAAGACUGGCAACACAAUUGAAUUGGAAUGCUCUUAUAACAUAGUACAGAACUACUGGCUACUGGGCUGGUGAUACCCUCGGACAAAGCACAUCGACUAUAGGAACAAUAAACCAGAUUGUAAGAAUUGUUCCUCUGUGCCAAUAGCAGAUAUAAAGAUAUUGCUAAAAUAUUGCAUCCUAAUGAUCUGUAUAACUUAAGUCAACUAUUGACGAUGGUUUAUUGCUGUCCGACUUAGUGCAUCCUUAAUGAACUUUUAGCAUUCAAUAAUGCACUAAUGAAGUAUUUUUCAAAUAAUGAAUUAGAACUAUUUGUGUAUACAACUCAGUGGUAAGAGUAAUUAUCAUAAAUUGAAAAUAAAUGUCCAUACAAAAAAUUGAAAAUGUAAUUUAUAUUUCAUAAUUAAAUAGACCUACAGUUUUUGUUUGUAUUAUAUAUUAGUACAACAUAAUCGAGAAAUUGAUAGAUAUAUAUACAUACCAAUCGAUUACUAAAAAAUGAAUAUAGUUUCAAAGCAUU
This is a long non-coding RNA of Mytilus californianus (California mussel), 951 nucleotides long. RefSeq lists it as uncharacterized. Lineage: Eukaryota; Metazoa; Mollusca; Bivalvia; Mytilida; Mytilidae. The record is from RefSeq and is a predicted model, not a curated record. The transcript has 5 exons.